AACCUACCUACUCAGAGGGGAAGUAACCCGGCGAAAGUACGGACUAAUACCGCAUAAAACAGGGACACCGCAUGGUGAUAUUUGUUAAAGAAAUUCGCUGAUAGAUGGGCAUGCGUUCCAUUAGGUAGUUGGUGAGGUAACGGCUCACCAAGCCGACGAUGGAUAGGGGAACUGAGAGGUUGGUCCCCCACACUGGUACUGAGACACGGACCAGACUCCUACGGGAGGCAGCAGUGAGGAAUAUUGGUCAAUGGGCGAGAGCCUGAACCAGCCAAGUCGCGUGAAAAGGAAGAAGGAUCUAUGGUUCGUAAACUUCUUUUGCAGGGGAAUAAAGUGCAGGACGUGUCCUGUUUUGUAUGUACCCUGAGAAUAAGGAUCGGCUAACUCCGUGCCAGCCGCAGC
RNAcentral lists this ribosomal RNA (402 nucleotides) under uncultured bacterium. RNAcentral's name for it is "bacterial SSU rRNA". It matches the Rfam family "Bacterial small subunit ribosomal RNA", at positions 123 to 518 of the family's 1533-position model. The record is from RNAcentral.